RNAcentral lists this ribosomal RNA (516 nucleotides) under uncultured bacterium. RNAcentral's name for it is "partial 16S ribosomal RNA". It matches the Rfam family "Bacterial small subunit ribosomal RNA", at positions 28 to 523 of the family's 1533-position model. The record is from RNAcentral.
GAUGAACGCUGGCGGCGUGCCUAAUACAUGCAAGUCGAGCGAAUGGAUUAAGAGCUUGCUCUUAUGAAGUUAGCGGCGGACGGGUGAGUAACACGUGGGUAACCUGCCCAUAAGACUGGGAUAACUCCGGGAAACCGGGGGCUAAUACCGGAUAACAUUUUGAACCGCAUGGUUCGAAAUUGAAAGGCGGCUUCGGCUGUCACUUAUGGAUGGACCCGCGUCGCAUUAGCUAGUUGGUGAGGUAACGGCUCACCAAGGCAACGAUGCGUAGCCGACCUGAGAGGGUGAUCGGCCACACUGGGACUGAGACCCGGCCCAGACUCCUACGGGAGGCAGCAGUAGGGAAUCGUCCGCAAUGGACGAAAGUCUGACGGAGCAACGCCGCGUGAGUGAUGAAGGCUUUCGGGUCGUAAAACUCUGUUGUUAGGGAAGAACAAGUGCUAGUUGAAUAAGCUGGCACCUUGACGGUACCUAACCAGAAAGCCACGGCUAACUACGUGCCAGCCGCCGCAGUAA